GGGGGUGUAGCUCAGUGGUAGAGCGUUCGCUUCGCAUGUGAAAGGUCCGGGGUUCAAGUCCCCGCUCCUCCA
This 72-nucleotide transfer RNA is filed under the name Nephila pilipes (giant wood spider). It matches the Rfam family "tRNA". From Rfam's summary of the family: Transfer RNA (tRNA) molecules are approximately 80 nucleotides in length. Their secondary structure includes four short double-helical elements and three loops (D, anti-codon, and T loops). Lineage: Eukaryota; Metazoa; Arthropoda; Arachnida; Araneae; Nephilidae. The record is from Rfam by way of RNAcentral.